UUCCACAUUUAGGGGUGUUACCUGGGUUUGGAAUAGCCAGCUGUCUCAAACACUAUCCGCAUUUUUAAAGGAAUAAGAAGUCUUGGCAGACACUGGAACAAUUAAUUGGCUUUUUCAGCCAAGUCAGACAAGCCAAUUUGAAAGACUGAGGGCAUGGAUGCACAUGGUGAAAGAAAGUGAGGAUGGAAAACUAUGUGCUUACCAGUAAAAAUGGACAGGCAAGCAAGAUGUUGGAAACUAUAUUGAAGGAGCAAGAUUCUCUAAAGAAAGAAAGUCACAAGGAGAAGAGAAAUAAGAUCAGCCUCACUGUUCUAGAAGUCUUAGGUUAGCCUAAAAUUUUCUCAUAAAAUUUCCUGGGGAGGAAAAUUUGAGCUUUUUUGGGCAAAAAAAAAUGUAAAGGUGAGAGCAGCAUGCUGAAGAUGAUGCUUUACUUCACCUCUGUUUUCUUUUAUGUAGUCUCUGAAGCAUGCAGCUCUCCUAGACAGGUGAACUCUGCAGAAAAGUUUAAUUAGAAAAUGCUGUAAUGUGUACUGGUGGGAGAGUGUGACACUGCUGGACUGUGGACUGCCCAAGAAAAAGCUGAAGUGCCAUUCACAAACAGCUCUAGAAUUCCUAACUGGAAGCAGUAUGGAGGAUAUAGGAAAAAGAAAGGACUGUGCACAUAUGGGUGCUGGCCUGGAAAGUUCUGUACUGAUGAACUCAAAGUGCCAAGGGUUUAUGUCCCUCUCUAAAUCACGAAUGAGGAGAUUUUACGUCGUCUUUUGUGGGAGGGAUUUGUUUGAAUGAGUAUAUUGUACCAUAAAGGAAUAGCUUUAUUAAUGUUAAGGUUGCUUUCAAUAAUAUGACUUAAUUUAUAGACCUAUUGGAGGAAGCAUAAGAUUUCCUCAAGGACCCAAAGCUUAGUCAUGGGCACAGACAACAUGAGAAAGCAUUGCAAGACUGGAAAACCUAGAAAGCAAUAUUGGCAAACAAUCCCAGAAAGCAACAAUCGCAGACUGCUUCAUGCAGGCCAAGGUUCUGAUUUCUUUAAGGGGGAAGUUUUCUGUCACUCACUGGGAAGGAAACACCGAUGUACUGUCCUGGUGUCUCAUUUUCAGAGUAGUCCUGAUUUAUAGCGACUUAUGGAGGUCAUUUAGUCCAGGCUGCCAUUUGAAGCAAGACUGUUGCCAAGAUUGGAUGAAGUGGGCUGUGGCUUUCUUCUGCCAAGUCUUGAAAACCUUCAGGGAUGAAGAUUCCAUCACCCCUGUCUUGUUGACCAGGUCCACUGCCACACUCUCCUCUCAGUCAAGACCUAUUGUAGCCAGCAUGCAGGGGUCAGGUACAGAUGCCGAAGUCAGAUCCCAAAAUGAUAGGGAAAAGAAGUACAUGGAAUAAUGAAAACACUUCCCAGGCAUGCUUUUCUAGUCAGUUCUGAUAUUUUUGAGUGGUGGCAGAUUUGAAACUUUUGCGUCUUGUCUGAUGAAUACUAUGCCUUGGAUGUGUUGUUGGAAUUUUAAAAAUAAUGGUUCUGAGAGCAUCAGAAUUGUUCUUAAUGUGUUUAACAGUGCCAGUGAUCCAAAGACACAAGUAGUUGAACUUCAAUGUCUCAGUAUUUAACUGGUUUUGAAACCAAGUUUUUCAUGUCAAGUUGCAUUUGGGAUCCAGAAUAAAGAAAAGUUGAUGCGCGAACCCACAAUUUCCUUGAGCAUAUGUUCUU
This is a long non-coding RNA of Cygnus olor (mute swan), 1696 nucleotides long. RefSeq lists it as uncharacterized. NCBI's taxonomy places the organism in Eukaryota, Metazoa, Chordata, Aves, Anseriformes, Anatidae. The transcript has 3 exons. The record is from RefSeq and is a predicted model, not a curated record.